This 499-nucleotide ribosomal RNA is filed under the name uncultured bacterium. RNAcentral's name for it is "partial 16S ribosomal RNA". It matches the Rfam family "Bacterial small subunit ribosomal RNA", at positions 28 to 507 of the family's 1533-position model. The record is from RNAcentral.
GACGAACGCUGGCGGCGUGCCUAAUACAUGCAAGUCGAGCGAAUUUUUUCUGGUUCUUGCACUAGAAAAACUUAGCGGCGAACGUGUGAGUAACACGUAAAGAACCUGCCUCAUAGACUGGGACAACUAUUGGAAACGAUAGCUAAUACCGGAUAACAGUAUUUCUCGCAUGAGAGAUAUUUAAAAGUUGGUUAUGCUAACACUAUGAGAUGGCUUUGCGGUGCAUUAGCUAGUUGGUGGGGUAAAGGCCCACCAAGGCGACGAUGCAUAGCCGACCUGAGAGGGUGAUCGGCCACACUGGAACUGAGACACGGCCCAGACUCCUACGGGAGGCAGCAGUAGGGAAUCUUCCGCAAUGGGCGAAAGCCUGACGGAGCAACGCCGCGUGAGUGAAGAAGGAUUUCGGUUCGUAAAGCUCUGUUGUUAGGGAAGAAUGGAUGUGUGGUAACUAUACAUGUAAGAGACGGUACCUAAACAGAAAGCCACGGCUAACUACGUG